Molecule: ribosomal RNA, 2907 nt
Filed under: Salmonella enterica
Lineage: Bacteria; Pseudomonadati; Pseudomonadota; Gammaproteobacteria; Enterobacterales; Enterobacteriaceae
Also listed under: 1 other name
Description: 23S ribosomal RNA
Rfam family: Bacterial large subunit ribosomal RNA
Source: RNAcentral
GGUUAAGCGACUAAGCGUACACGGUGGAUGCCCUGGCAGUCAGAGGCGAUGAAGGGCGUGCUAAUCUGCGAUAAGCGCCGGUAAGGUGAUAUGAACCGUUAUAACCGGCGAUACCCGAAUGGGGAAACCCAGUGUGACUCGUCACACUAUCAUUAACUGAAUCCAUAGGUUAAUGAGGCGAACCGGGGGAACUGAAACAUCUAAGUACCCCGAGGAAAAGAAAUCAACCGAGAUUCCCCCAGUAGCGGCGAGCGAACGGGGAGGAGCCCAGAGCCUGAAUCAGCAUGUGUGUUAGUGGAAGCGUCUGGAAAGGCGCGCGAUACAGGGUGACAGCCCCGUACACAAAAGCGCAUGUGCUGUGAGCUCGAUGAGUAGGGCGGGACACGUGGUAUCCUGUCUGAAUAUGGGGGGACCAUCCUCCAAGGCUAAAUACUCCUGACUGACCGAUAGUGAACCAGUACCGUGAGGGAAAGGCGAAAAGAACCCCGGCGAGGGGAGUGAAAAAGAACCUGAAACCGUGUACGUACAAGCAGUGGGAGCACAGGUUUACCUGUGUGACUGCGUACCUUUUGUAUAAUGGGUCAGCGACUUAUAUUCUGUAGCAAGGUUAACCGCAUAGGGGAGCCGGAGGGAAACCGAGUCUUAAUUGGGCGUUAAGUUGCAGGGUAUAGACCCGAAACCCGGUGAUCUAGCCAUGGGCAGGUUGAAGGUUGGGUAACACUAACUGGAGGACCGAACCGACUAAUGUUGAAAAAUUAGCGGAUGACCUGUGGCUGGGGGUGAAAGGCCAAUCAAACCGGGAGAUAGCUGGUUCUCCCCGAAAGCUAUUUAGGUAGCGCCUCGUGAAUUCAUCUCCGGGGGUAGAGCACUGUUUCGGCUAGGGGGCCAUCCCGGCUUACCAACCCGAUGCAAACUGCGAAUACCGGAGAAUGUUAUCACGGGAGACACACGGCGGGUGCUAACGUCCGUCGUGAAGAGGGAAACAACCCAGACCGCCAGCUAAGGUCCCAAAGUCAUGGUUAAGUGGGAAACGAUGUGGGAAGGCCCAGACAGCCAGGAUGUUGGCUUAGAAGCAGCCAUCAUUUAAAGAAAGCGUAAUAGCUCACUGGUCGAGUCGGCCUGCGCGGAAGAUGUAACGGGGCUAAACCAUGCACCGAAGCUGCGGCAGCGACACUGUGUGUUGUUGGGUAGGGGAGCGUUCUGUAAGCCUGCGAAGGUGGCCUGUGAGGGUUGCUGGAGGUAUCAGAAGUGCGAAUGCUGACAUAAGUAACGAUAAAGCGGGUGAAAAGCCCGCUCGCCGGAAGACCAAGGGUUCCUGUCCAACGUUAAUCGGGGCAGGGUGAGUCGACCCCUAAGGCGAGGCCGAAAGGCGUAGUCGAUGGGAAACGGGUUAAUAUUCCCGUACUUGGUGUUACUGCGAAGGGGGGACGGAGAAGGCUAUGUUGGCCGGGCGACGGUUGUCCCGGUUUAAGCGUGUAGGUGUGUGUUCCAGGUAAAUCCGGUUCACUUUAACACUGAGGCGUGACGACGAGGCACUACGGUGCUGAAGCAACAAAUGCCCUGCUUCCAGGAAAAGCCUCUAAGCAUCAGGUAACAUCAAAUCGUACCCCAAACCGACACAGGUGGUCAGGUAGAGAAUACCAAGGCGCUUGAGAGAACUCGGGUGAAGGAACUAGGCAAAAUGGUGCCGUAACUUCGGGAGAAGGCACGCUGACACGUAGGUGAAGUGAUUUACUCAUGGAGCUGAAGUCAGUCGAAGAUACCAGCUGGCUGCAACUGUUUAUUAAAAACACAGCACUGUGCAAACACGAAAGUGGACGUAUACGGUGUGACGCCUGCCCGGUGCCGGAAGGUUAAUUGAUGGGGUCAGCGCAAGCGAAGCUCCUGAUCGAAGCCCCGGUAAACGGCGGCCGUAACUAUAACGGUCCUAAGGUAGCGAAAUUCCUUGUCGGGUAAGUUCCGACCUGCACGAAUGGCGUAAUGAUGGCCAGGCUGUCUCCACCCGAGACUCAGUGAAAUUGAACUCGCUGUGAAGAUGCAGUGUACCCGCGGCAAGACGGAAAGACCCCGUGAACCUUUACUAUAGCUUGACACUGAACAUUGAGCCUUGAUGUGUAGGAUAGGUGGGAGGCUUUGAAGUGUGGACGCCAGUCUGCAUGGAGCCGACCUUGAAAUACCACCCUUUAAUGUUUGAUGUUCUAACGUGGACCCGUAAUCCGGGUUGCGGACAGUGUCUGGUGGGUAGUUUGACUGGGGCGGUCUCCUCCUAAAGAGUAACGGAGGAGCACGAAGGUUGGCUAAUCCUGGUCGGACAUCAGGAGGUUAGUGCAAUGGCAUAAGCCAGCUUGACUGCGAGCGUGACGGCGCGAGCAGGUGCGAAAGCAGGUCAUAGUGAUCCGGUGGUUCUGAAUGGAAGGGCCAUCGCUCAACGGAUAAAAGGUACUCCGGGGAUAACAGGCUGAUACCGCCCAAGAGUUCAUAUCGACGGCGGUGUUUGGCACCUCGAUGUCGGCUCAUCACAUCCUGGGGCUGAAGUAGGUCCCAAGGGUAUGGCUGUUCGCCAUUUAAAGUGGUACGCGAGCUGGGUUUAGAACGUCGUGAGACAGUUCGGUCCCUAUCUGCCGUGGGCGCUGGAGAACUGAGGGGGGCUGCUCCUAGUACGAGAGGACCGGAGUGGACGCAUCACUGGUGUUCGGGUUGUCAUGCCAAUGGCACUGCCCGGUAGCUAAAUGCGGAAGAGAUAAGUGCUGAAAGCAUCUAAGCACGAAACUUGCCCCGAGAUGAGUUCUCCCUGAGACUUAGAGUCUCCUGAAGGAACGUUGAAGACGACGACGUUGAUAGGCCGGGUGUGUAAGCGCAGCGAUGCGUUGAGCUAACCGGUACUAAUGAACCGUGAGGCUUAACCUU